GAUGAAGAACGCAGCAAAAUGCGAUACUUGGUGUGAAUUGCAGAAUCCCGUGAACCAUCGAGUUUUUGAACGCAAGUUGCGCCCGAAGCCUUUUGGCCGAGGGCACGUCUGCCUGGGCGUCACGCAUCGCGUCGCCCCCCACAAUUCUCCGUAAAGGGAACAUGUGUUUUGGGGGCGGAUAUUGGUCUCCCGUGCUCAUGGCGUGGUUGGCCGAAAUAGGAGUCCUUUCGAUGGACGCACGAACUAGUGGUGGUCGUAAAAACCCUCGUCUUUUGUUUCGUGCUGUUGGUCGCAAGGUAAACUCUUUAAAAACCCCAAUGUGUCGUCUCUUGACGACGCUUCGACCGCGACCCCAGGUCAGGCGGGACUACCCGCUGAGUUUAAGCAUAUCAAUAAGCGAGGA
RNAcentral lists this unclassified non-coding RNA (403 nucleotides) under soil metagenome. Its description in RNAcentral is "partial contains 5.8S ribosomal RNA, internal transcribed spacer 2, and large subunit ribosomal RNA". The stretch from base 1 to 122 matches the Rfam family "5.8S ribosomal RNA", at positions 35 to 154 of the family's 154-position model. The record is from RNAcentral.